This 432-nucleotide unclassified non-coding RNA is filed under the name soil metagenome. RNAcentral's name for it is "partial contains 5.8S ribosomal RNA, internal transcribed spacer 2, and large subunit ribosomal RNA". The stretch from base 1 to 120 matches the Rfam family "5.8S ribosomal RNA", at positions 35 to 154 of the family's 154-position model. The record is from RNAcentral.
GAUGAAGAACGCAGCGAAAUGCGAUACGUAAUGUGAAUUGCAGAAUUCAGUGAAUCAUCGAAUCUUUGAACGCAUAUUGCGCUCUCUGGUAUUCCGGAGAGCAUGCUUGUUUGAGUAUCAGUAAACACCUCAACUUCCAUAUCUUUUUUGAAAUGGGAGUUGGACUUGAGUGAUCCCAACGCUUUUCCUCACCGAAAAGUGGCGGGUUACUUGAAAUGCAGGUGCAGCUGGACUUUUCUCUGAGCUAUAAGCAUAUCUAUUUAGUCUGCCUAAAAAACAGAUUAUUACCUUUGCUGCAGCUAACAUAAAGGAGAUUAGUUCUUGUGCUGACUGAUGCAGGAUUCACAAAGACAGGCUUCGGCCGACUUUGUAAACUCGAUCUCAAAUCAAGUAAGACUACCCGCUGAACUUAAGCAUAUCAAUAGCGGAGGA